CAAUUUAUAGCUCAAUCAAAGCAUCUUGCUUACACCAAGAAAACACCCGUUUAACUCGGGUUAAAUUGA
RNAcentral lists this transfer RNA (69 nucleotides) under Cynops cyanurus (blue-tailed fire-bellied newt). RNAcentral describes it as "tRNA-Val". It matches the Rfam family "tRNA". From Rfam's summary of the family: Transfer RNA (tRNA) molecules are approximately 80 nucleotides in length. Their secondary structure includes four short double-helical elements and three loops (D, anti-codon, and T loops). The record is from RNAcentral. Lineage: Eukaryota; Metazoa; Chordata; Amphibia; Caudata; Salamandridae. RNAcentral also lists the same sequence under 1 other name.